RNAcentral lists this ribosomal RNA (253 nucleotides) under uncultured bacterium. RNAcentral's name for it is "partial 16S ribosomal RNA". It matches the Rfam family "Bacterial small subunit ribosomal RNA", at positions 524 to 776 of the family's 1533-position model. The record is from RNAcentral.
UACGUAGGGUGCGAGCGUUGUCCGGAAUUACUGGGCGUAAAGAGCUCGUAGGUGGUUUGUCGCGUUGUUCGUGAAAACUCACAACUCAAUUGUGGGCGUGCGGGCGAUACGGGCAGACUGGAGUACUGCAGGGGAGACUGGAAUUCCUGGUGUAGCGGUGGAAUGCGCAGAUAUCAGGAGGAACACCGGUGGCGAAGGCGGGUCUCUGGGCAGUAACUGACGCUGAGACACGAAGGCCAGGGGAGCAAACGGG